RNAcentral lists this ribosomal RNA (315 nucleotides) under uncultured bacterium. RNAcentral's name for it is "bacterial SSU rRNA". It matches the Rfam family "Bacterial small subunit ribosomal RNA", at positions 1061 to 1382 of the family's 1533-position model. The record is from RNAcentral.
CGUGUCGUGAGAUGUUGGGUUAAGUCCCGCAACGAGCGCAACCCUUGUCAUUAGUUGCUACGAAAGGGCACUCUAAUGAGACUGCCGGUGACAAACCGGAGGAAGGUGGGGAUGACGUCAAGUCCUCAUGGCCCUUAUGGGUAGGGCUUCACACGUCAUACAAUGGUACAUACAGAGGGCCGCCAACCCGCGAGGGGGAGCUAAUCCCAGAAAGUGUAUCGUAGUCCGGAUUGUAGUCUGCAACUCGACUACAUGAAGUUGGAAUCGCUAGUAAUCGCGGAUCAGCAUGUCGCGGUGAAUACGUUCCCGGGUCUU